UACGGAGGGUGCAAGCGUUAAUCGGAAUUACUGGGCGUAAAGCGCACGCAGGUGGCUAAGUCAGUCGAUUGUGAAAGCCCUGGGCUUAACCUGGGAAUUGCAGUCGAUACUACUUAGCUAGAGUAUGGGAGAGGGCAGUGGAAUUCCCGGUGUAGCGGUGAAAUGCGUAGAUAUCGGGAGGAACAUCAGUGGCGAAGGCGGCUGCCUGGCCCAAUACUGACACUCAGGUGCGACAGCGUGGGGAGCAAACAGG
This 253-nucleotide ribosomal RNA is filed under the name uncultured bacterium. RNAcentral's name for it is "partial 16S ribosomal RNA". It matches the Rfam family "Bacterial small subunit ribosomal RNA", at positions 524 to 776 of the family's 1533-position model. The record is from RNAcentral. RNAcentral also lists the same sequence under 1 other name.